GGGGCAUUAGCUCAGCUGGGAGAGCGUUUGUCUGGCAGACAAAAGGUCAGCGGUUCGAGCCCGCUAUGCUCCA
RNAcentral lists this transfer RNA (73 nucleotides) under Oceanobacillus limi. RNAcentral describes it as "Ornithinibacillus sp. H9B(2010) tRNA". It matches the Rfam family "tRNA". From Rfam's summary of the family: Transfer RNA (tRNA) molecules are approximately 80 nucleotides in length. The record is from Rfam by way of RNAcentral. Lineage: Bacteria; Bacillati; Bacillota; Bacilli; Caryophanales; Bacillaceae.